UAAUACGGAGGGGGCUAGCGUUAUUCGGAAUUAUUGGGCGUAAAGGGCGCGUAGGCGGCCCGGUAAGUCAAAGGUGAAAUCCCUCGGCUCAACUGAGGAACUGCCUUUGAAACUGUCGGGCUUGAGGCCGGGAGGGGGUAGCGGAAUUCCCAGUGUAGCGGUGAAAUGCGUAGAUAUUGGGAGGAACACCGGUGGCGAAGGCGGCUACCUGGACCGGUUCUGACGCUGAUGCGCGAAAGCGUGGGUAGCAAACAGGAUUAGAUACCCUGGUAGUCCACGCUGUAAACGAUGGGUGCUCGGUGUCGCGGGUAUCGACCCCUGCGGUGCCUUAGCUAACGCGUUAAGCACCCCGCCUGGGGAGUACGGUCGCAAGGCUG
Molecule: ribosomal RNA, 377 nt
Filed under: uncultured bacterium
Lineage: Bacteria
Description: bacterial SSU rRNA
Rfam family: Bacterial small subunit ribosomal RNA
Source: RNAcentral